GCGGAUGUAGCUCAGUGGUAGAGCAUCGGCUUCCCAAGCCGAGGGUCACGGGUUCGACCCCCGCCAUCCGCU
This 72-nucleotide transfer RNA is filed under the name Bacteroidales bacterium. RNAcentral's name for it is "tRNA-Gly". It matches the Rfam family "tRNA". From Rfam's summary of the family: Transfer RNA (tRNA) molecules are approximately 80 nucleotides in length. Lineage: Bacteria; Pseudomonadati; Bacteroidota; Bacteroidia; Bacteroidales. The record is from RNAcentral.